This 1379-nucleotide long non-coding RNA is filed under the name Pongo abelii (Sumatran orangutan). RNAcentral's name for it is "lincRNA". The record is from RNAcentral. Lineage: Eukaryota; Metazoa; Chordata; Mammalia; Primates; Hominidae.
ACUGCUGGCCGCCCAGUCGCCAGGGAGAGUGAAUACAGCUAGGGACGUGAAAGAACGGGGAAGAUAACUGAAGGGUGGUUUGAGAAACCCACCAGGCCAACUGGGAAUUAGAAUUGAUUCAAAACUCUGUUGAUCGCCUGACCUCCAUAAGCUCCUACUCUGAUGCUUCUUCUUAGAGACAAGGCCUCACUCCAUUGCCCCUAGGCCAGGCCUGGUGAGUGACAGCAGCCCUGGUGCCCCAGCCUGCUAGGGCAACGUGUCACCCAGAGGCUUCGAGGCCCUCCUCACCAUGGUACCCACCUCCUCGAAGCUGCCUCCCAAAGCCCUCUAGCUGCUGCUGCAGCCGCAACAAGUGCCACCACCAGGGGCCUUCCAGCUGCCAGUGCAGGCUUUCCAGAGCUGGGGAUUGGGGAACCUGCAGUCAUCGCCUCAGCAACUCUGGUGGCAGCCAGGCCAGCCAGGGCAGUGAUGAUGACUCUGUAAUGAAAAGUGGGAUGACAGCUCCACACUGGUGGAUGAGUUGAGAACACCAGGCAGAGGCAUGUACCUGGUCUUUGAAGGUUCAGUGGACCUGCACUACCAUUGCAGUGCAAAGUGCAAGAGUUGAAGCUUGGAAACCUUCACCUAGAUUUAGGAAGGUUCAUGGAAAAGUCUGGAUGUCCAUGCAGAAGCCUGCUGCACAAGUGGAACCCUCAUGGAGAAUCUCUACCAGGGCAGUGUGGAGGGGAAAUGUGGGGUUAAAGGCCCCACACAGAGUCCCACUGGAGCACUUCCUAGUGGAGCUAUGAGAAGAGAACCACUGUCCUCCUGACAUCAAAAUGGUAGAUCCACUGGCAGCUUGCACUCUCAGCCUGAAAAAGCUACAAGUACUCAAGGCCAGCCCUUGAGAGCAUCUACAGGUGCUAAACCCUGGAAAGCCACAAGUGUGGUUGAUGCCCAAGGCUUUGGGAGCCCACCCCUUGUACCAGCACGCCCUUGAUGUGGGAUAUAAAGUCAAAGGAAGUUAUUUUGGAGCUUUAAGAUUUAAUGACUGCUCUGCUGGGUUUUGGACUUGUGUAGGCUUGUAGCCCCUUUCUUUUGGCCAAUUUCUUCCUUUUAGAAUGGGAAUGUUGAUCCAAUGUCUAUACCCCCAUUGUAUCUUGGAAGUAACAAACUUGCUUCUUGUUUUACAGGGUCAUAGGCAGAAGGGACUUGUCUCAGAUAAGACUUGUCUCAGAUAAGUCUUAUUUGAGACAUAGCCUUGUCUCAGAUAAGACUUUGGACUGUGGACUUUUGAGUUAAUGCUGGAAUGAGUUAAAUAUUUGCAGGACUGUUGAGAAAGCAUGGUUGUUUGGUUGUUUGUUUGUUUGUUUGUUUUGAGACAGAGUCUCCCUCUGUCA